RNA transcript from Mus musculus (house mouse), 10082 nucleotides. It is a transcript of the gene named predicted gene 8149, with no coding region annotated. NCBI's taxonomy places the organism in Eukaryota, Metazoa, Chordata, Mammalia, Rodentia, Muridae. The record is from RefSeq and is a predicted model, not a curated record. The transcript has 4 exons.
GUCUGACGAAAAUAAGCAAACUAUAAAAAGGCAGAGCCGAACAUGGAGCCUUUAGAUAGUCUCAACCGAGCAGUGAUGGAAAGAUGGAUCUGGGGACGACAGAGCUCACAGGCAGAGGACAAAAUAAGCAGCCAAGUAACAGCCGUUCAGCACAACGCGUUUUAGGCAAGGAUCCCCACUCCCACACCCCCAGCACACAGUGAUGGAUCUGGGAAAGCAGGAAGGGCCCAGAGUGGCUGCAGAGACUGCAGGCUGUGCAGUGGAGGGGAGAGGGGAGACUUGCAGGGUCUGCCAAGCUGAAUGCGGGCAGGGAAGGAGGAGGCCUGGUGGCUGGCUGAGAAGCUCCACGUGCUGAACAGAGAAUACGGGCACACCAUAGGCUUACGGCCCCGGCAACAGAGAUACAGAAGCAAGCAUGGGCAGAGUGUGCUGUGCAGAAGCAAGAGGCUCAGCAGAAGCGCUAAGAACAAGUUAAACAUAACUACCCUCAAAAACCGGACCCAAGUGCCACUUCUUUCUCGGAAGCUCCUCUGACCAUGCCCAUCUGAGCAAUCUCUUGGCCACACCCCGACUGCAGGACUUCUGUCACCCAGCUUUGCACUGGUGCACAUCUUGGAACCUGUAUCUGCUACUUAGCCUGUGAGGCUCUGGAAUAAAGAGAUGCAUAAAGAAGGUCCCUAUCAUUACCAGGUUUCCUGUAGCCAUAACACCUCAGUGUGUGCUAUGCACCUUACAGUGAGAAGGGAGCUAGCUGGACGCUCUGCAGAAGAGGCUCUAUCUAAUGGGCACCGUGGAGGACGUUAAUCAGGGAAAGAAGGGAGGGAAGGAGAACAUGUGAGUGAGAGCAUGGAGAUAUUCAUUCUCUCUCUCUCUCUCUCUCUCUCUCUCUCUCUCUCUCUCUCUCUCUCCCUCUCCCUCUCCCUCCCUCUCUCUCUCUCUCUGGAGGACAGAAAGCUAGAGAAGGAAGGGCGUUUAAGACUGAAUAACAUGCAACCUGUGUGUAUCCAGGCCUUAUAUAUAAAGCAAAGCGUACGUGGGGUCCCUGGCAUUCUGCUUGAGCUUCAACUUUCCACUUUGCGAUUUAUCUCUGUAUGGAGCUCACGGUGCAUACAGUACCGUGUACCUGGGGCUUUCAAUACGGCUGUUCCGAUUUGAGAUAUGGCAAUCCUAAGACAUGCUAGAUGUAAAGGAAGCUAAAAUAUUGUAUUAGUCAUUGUAAGGGUCUAGAGCAAAGACUCAGUGGUUAAGAGCACUUGUUGCCCUUUCAGAGGACUGGGUUUGGUUCCUAGUAUUUACAUGGCCGCUUAGAACACCUCAACUCCAGUUGCAGGGGACCCAUUGCCCUCUUCUGGCCUCUCUGCAGGAACCAGGACAUGUGGUGCACAUAAGUAUGCAUACAGCCAUGUAAAUAAAGAAAUCUUAAAAAAAUAAUUUUAAAGUAGUGAGUAUAUGUUGGUAUUAUCUUAGCUAGAUAAUUUGCAUCUUACUUGAGUUAAAUCAAAUAUGUUAUUAAAAAUGAACUUACCUGUUUCCUUUCGCCUGAUAAAAUGCAGCUGCCAGAAAACUGCUGCUUGCCUUUGCUGCUCAUGCUGGUUACUCAGGCCUGACACAGACACAGGGGCCUUGACAACUGGCUGUCCUGACAGUGUUCCCAUCUCAGUAUUUGGUGGCUACUUUUCAUACCGUCUACAUUUUAUUGAGUAGAUAUUACUUUAUAAUCAGGAGGAGCAAACAGAAAUUAGACAUAAACAUGCAAAGCAAACAUCUUCAAUCUGGAUCAGACUUGCAGGCGGAGGAGAAGGCAGCCCCAGUGAACAAAAAACUGUCACUGGCAGAGGUCUGCGCACAGAGGAUGCUGGACAGCUGUUCUCCAUCCUGACUGAAGACAGAAGAAAGCGGAAAUGGGUGUUAACCGCAGGAGGGGGGCUGUGAGUUAAAUAUAGGGAAGAAUUUCCUGAAGUGAGGGUGUUUAAACUCUGGAAUGAGUUAUGGAAGGAGCCUGUCUCCCCAACCCCCCCCCCCAAGGUCUUUUAAAGUCCCACAGAUGCCCAUAUGCCUUGUGUGUUCCAGUCCAGGGGUAGGGAGAUGGCCCAUCAAGGCUAUCUCAAGAGUAAAGAACUCCAGUAAAACUUCCUCUCUCAUUACCUUUCCACAGGGCUCCACCCUUUGUAUUAGGAUGCCAGCCCAAGAGCCAUACUCUCAAAAGCAGGCCGUGUGACACUUAAGUAGUACUCUUGAGACUUCAAAGACAAUGUCACUUGAUCUAAAUUUAAAGACUAUCAUCAGCUAGCUGUGGUUUUAAGUCCCUUGGAGGUCACCUGCCAGAGCCCCUGCUCUGAAUCUGGCACAGGCAUGACUAAGGGAAAGGAUGAGGGAAGAUGUCUGUAAGAUGGGAGGACUUCCAAGCUCUGACUGCUGUUGCGUAGUGGUGAUUUUGAAUGCACUGUUGCUUACUGUAGACAGACGUUUACUGAAACAGCUGAGCCUAUGUGUGCCAACCUGUCAUCCCAGCCCUUGAGUGGGAGGCGGGGGGCCAAGAGUUUAAGGCCGGCUUUGGCUACACCAGACCUGUAUCAAACAACAAACAAAUGCCCACCCUAAGUUCCAGAGUUCUUGGGUAAGGACCUUUUCCUACUAUUUCUACUUAAAGCUGUUGAGCUCGAUUCUCUUUCUUUGUAAAGGAAAAGAAGACUGUAGCAUGUGGGAGCAGGGAGGAUGAGGAGCAGGGAGGAUGAGGAGCAGGGAGGAUGAGGAGCAGGGAGGAUGAGGAGCAGGGAAGAUGAGGAGCAGGGAGGAUGCAGAGCAUGUGCAGCAAGGGUCUGGAGAGUCUGCCAGUGAAGAGAAGAGCCCCUUACCUACCGAGUCACAGCUACUGUGAGAGAUUACUGUGUGAGAAUGUCCUGCAAGGCAUGCCCUUCAAAACAUUCAAUCUGUCACAGCUACUUCAGACUAGAAGCUAAACCAAUGUGAACUAGGCCCAGACAGCAUGAACUUUGUUUUUAAAAUCUCCUUCAUCUCUUGCACUGCACAAGAUGCAUAGGAGAAACUUGAGUUGUUAAAUGCAUGAAAAUUUACUCCAUUGGGUUUAAAAAAAUUUUUUUUUACUCCAUUGUUUUUUAAGAUUUAAUUCUGUGUAUAUGUGCAUAAGUGAGUGCAGUACCUACAGAGGCCAGAAGAGGGCAUCGGACCCCCCCUGGAGUUGGCUGGAGUUAACUGACACCUGUGAGUUGCCCAGUUUAGGUGCUGGCAGCUUUGCUUGGGACUUUUGGAAGAGUGGCAAACCCUCUUCACUCCUGAGCCAUCUCUCUAGCCCAAUUUAUGGUUUUAUAUAGUUCUUUUUGGUUUAUAACCCCUUUGGCAGAUAUAUCUCAUUUGUUCUACAUAUCUAUGCUUGGGAAACAGGACUGGUUCUAUUAAUAUCAAUAAAAAUAACUUGAUAUUUAAAAAAUAAUUUAUGAAAUUUAAGUGAUACAGCAGAAACUGACAUCCAUGCCUUUUGACCCCCAAGCUGGGUUCUUUCUCUGCUGUAUCACAUUCUCUUGCAUGAAGGUAAUGGUGAAUUUAUGCUUUAAAUUGGGCAGAAAAAGUAAAAUUUAGAAUAAAAAUUUCCUUUAUAAAGCACAACAGAGGGCUUUGAAAUCAUGUUUUUGUCAAGUGUUCACGGAAGACAAAGACUGCAGGCGAGUACGCUCUGCACCCUGGGUUCUCUUCCUGCUUCUUAGCUACAGAGCAGGGACUGAACAGAGGCCGGAUUCCAGCAUUCCAGUUCUCAUGGGUUUUACAAAGCUUAUGAGGUACCUGGGUAAGCUUCCCUCAGAACACUGCCAGCCUUGCCAUGUAUCAUUCUACAAGACUCUGGAUUUGACUUUGGGGGUGCCCUCAGGAAGGUAACAGGUGUCAGGACAAUGGUGCCCAGUAUCAGAGGGAUGUAGAGGCAGGGAAGGCACAGAGGAGACAUUAGCACGCAUGUGACAAGAACUGUCCUCUGUGGCUGUCAUGUGAUUUGGUCAAGUCAACCGUAAGCCUCAGUUUUGAGCUGUGAACCACGAUCGAGCCCUCGGCUCUCUCAGGACACAUACAGAAAGGUUUUUAAGUAAAUGGAUUUUUAAUAAUAAGAAUGUAGAAGCUACCAAUAUGUGCAGGUAAACAGAUUGUAGAGUGCUUUUCUCUGGGUCUGCAGAAAGGUUUAGUUAAAGUUAACAUUUUAUACCAUUAGUGUUUAAGAGAGUAAGCCACUGCAUCAAACACAAGAACCACAUGAAUACCUAUUUGUAAGCUAAAAAACCAAAAUACCUGUAACAAAGAAUGAAUAAUUUUUAAAAACAGAUUCUAUAACUAUGACCUGCUACUCAUUAUCCAUUCACACUAACUGCUAAGUGAGGCAUGCAGGGCCUUUAUUUAAAUCUCAAUGGCACCACCAUCAGCCAGGUCCUGUCACCCUCAGUUCUGCCCAGAGACUGAGGUCAGAGGCGUUAGCAUCAAACAGUCCGUGCUCUUUCCGUUGACUUGACUCUUACGCCACUUUGUAGUGGGAAGAGAACAGGAGAAAGGAAUGACUUUAACAGAAUAGGCAGGGUGACUUUAAGCAGAGCAUUUGGGGAUGGGGCUCUAAGCUGAAAUUCUGCUCGACAAACUGGCAUCACCUGGCAGCUCUAGCUGGGUUCCUGACACUAGGAUGGGAAAGCAGGGGUCAUCUGGGAAAGAGCUGUCAAAAACCAGUGAGAGCCACCCCCACACCACAGUGUGCAUGAAGACAAAGGGCCACUUUAGAACUGCUCAGGUGGAGGGUGACAAUAUUAGUUAAGAAUUUUGUAAUAUACAAGAAAAGUUACUUCAUUAAAAGAGCCUUUAUCACUGUCCUUUCUUUACAAAAUCAAACAAAAUAAGCUGUCAUAUAACCUGGAUGUUUCCCCAAGGAAUUCGAUGCACCCAUGGAUCCUCCCUCCGCCAGCCUGCAAUCCUCAACUCCAGCAGGCCAGACAGCAGCACCUCCAUAGGACCUGUCUGCCAGUGGAAACCACUGCACAAGAUGCUAAGUCUCCCCUGGGAGCUGAGACAUUAAGAGUCUCUCCAAGGAGGAGCUGAGUUUGUUUGGCCUUUGCCCUAAGGAGCACAAGCUGGGGUAGGGUAGGGACCCCCAGUCUACAGAGGCUUAGGGAAAUUCUCGGAUUUCUUGAGGCUGAAACAGCUUGCUCCAGCUUUGUUUAGGCUUGUGGAGCCUGGCCUCCUGCGGUGGUCUUGACUUGGAAUUAUUGGGAGCACUCACUUUCCCAGUACUGUGUCUUGAAAACAGUGGCCCAGUUUUCAUGAGAGACCAGAAAGUGGCCAUUACUGCAUGCUCCUGUUAACGCACCUCGAUGGCUGGCACGGAUGGGCACCGUGUAAACAUUACGUUCAGGGCUUAAUGGUUUUGCUAUGCCAGUGCCAGGAGACCGAGAUUCCCCUUUAUUGCUGCAGGGUCACAGGUCAGUGGCACUCACAGUCAUUUCAUUUCUCUGUGCCUUACUUAGAACGAGUUGCUGAAAAGACUGUUGCAAGUGGGGAAGGGCAGGAGAAGGGCUUGAGGUGAGUGAGUAUUUUGCGUAGCUUGUCUGUAAGCCUCUCAGAAGGCCCUACUAUCUACAGCUGCAAUAACUUGCUGUGCUCUUUCUGUGUCUCUGUCUUUCUCUGUGUCUCUGUCUCUCACACAGACACACAGACACACAGACACACACACACACACACACACACACACACACACACCCGGAGAAUGGGACAAGUAGAACCAGGGAGGUGAGCUGCGCCAAUCCUGCUGUUUGGAUAAGAAAAGCCGGUGGCUAAGACAGGAUGAGUAAGAGGGGUGGGGAGAGGAAGGCAGGAGUCAGAGGCUACACACACACUGACCAGGAUAAUUCAGGACAGUGACCUUUGAGGGUGGGACAGAGCUUAGUAGGCACAUUGAUAGAACACAGAAUCAGAUCAGAGUGAGUUUAGCAAGGACAUAAAUACUACAGAACACAACCAGUCCUGAAAUCAUUAGACAUCAAAGCAGCGCUCCCCCGAUGAGCAAACUCCACUGAGCUUCUGCUUACUUCUGUCAGACUGUUAAGACACGCCCUAUCCCAGAAGAACUGCUCCAAAGAGCAGGAGGAGGAAAGGUCAUCAUGGGUCCUCAUUCUAGUGGGAGGCUCUUACAAAACCAAAACCAGACACGGGAGAUUCUUUUUCUUUUUUUGAGACAAGGUCUCAUGUAGAUGAAACCGGCCUCACUUUUUGGCUGAGGAAGAUCUUCGACUUCCAAUUCUCUCUCUGCCUUUACUCCUCAGUGCUGAGGUUACAGGCAUACGCCGUGACAUUUGGCAAUCACACAUUUGAGAGAGCCACCUGGGAUAUAUGAAACUCGAGGAAGGACUGCUUCGCUUUACUCUCAUGGUGAAUGACAGUGGAAUCCUGACCUGCCUCCAUCUCAUUUCUCAAGAGCUGGGAUCACAGGCUCGUGCCAUCACACCCAGCAUGAGAUGCCAUCUUUAUAAUUGGGUCCGUCUUCACGGCACAAGAGAGAAUGAAGCUGAUACUAGACUUCCCACCUCGAACCUCAUCCUCACAGCAAACUGCUAAGGAUUAACUGCAGAGGUCAACAUGAGGAAAUCAAGUUUCAGAGAGGCCGGACUUCAAGCCCACACAUUAUACAAGAACAUCUGGGCUCAGAAGCCAGAGCGACUUCUCAGAGACUGGCCACUGCCAGCUACCACCUUCUCAGGCUGAUUCCCACUUACAAGAUUUGCUAAGUCACCACCCACGCUCCAGGACACAAGCCUCGGGAUCCCUGAAUGGCGCGAGCACAGACUUUCCACUUCCUCAAGUCAUGUGAUUCACUUAAUGCUAAGGCUGUAAUCAGCAGCCCGCCUGCACGGGACAGCUCGUGGUGACCAAACAUGAGGUACAUUUUAGUAGCAACCCUGGGGCUCAGACUCUAACUCUGGCUGCUGGUCCUGGGGCUCCCGUUCUUUGCUUGUUCUUCUAGGAGUCAGACCGGCCUCACCUGCCUCAGUAGCACACUCUAGGGCUCCAUUAGUACUUGCCUCUCACCCAGAGGGUGCUCUGCUGCCUUAGCCAGAGCAGAGGUUACGUUACACGUUGAGAUGGCUGCCUUUUUAUCUCUUUGGCUAUCUCACGGCAGCAGAAAGCCGAGCAGGCAGGCACAGAGCAAUGUGGGGGUCCGGCAAGCUUGGCAGGCGUGUUACCCACACCCGUGCUGUGGGAGUCAGGCAAGCAGAUACUCACCACCUGACCAUCAGUCCGUGCUCCAUGAAGUUUUUCAGGUUAGGAAGAGUUUGCCUCAAGUCUGGAGUCCCCAGGCCAUGCUGGUAUCUCAGCUGCAACGAAAGAACGGAAUUGAAAGAUGUUUUGGCAGAUGCUAGGCAAUGCUCAGGACGGUGAACUCCUGAACGAGCAAACAUUUAAGUGUACAAAGGCCACACCAACUACAGCCGAGGCACAGCAUUUAAUGGCUCUUCUUUACCAUCACCUUACACCUUGAACUUGAAAACAAUAUGGCCAACCUUAGGCCUUCACCUACUCUUUUCCACUCCCAGAUCUUGGUAAGUGUUUCUAACACCAUAGACAUAACUCAUAGGAAAUCUUCUAUUUAAAUCAGAAAAAGAUUAAUUUAUUCUUAUUGUAUGUGUAUGACUAUAUUGCCUGCACAUAUAUAGGUGUGCCAUGCGUGGCCUGGGCCCACAGAAGCCAGAAGAAGGGUAUAGGAACUUUUGGAACUGCAGUUAGAGGGGGUUGUGAGCCACCAUGUGGGUGCUGGAAACUGAACCUGGGUCCUUGGCAAGAGCAGUAAGUACUCUUAACCAGAGAACCACCUUCCCACCCCUCUUACUUUUAAUUUUGUGUAAAGUGGUAUUUCUGUGUAUGUUUGCAUAAGUGUAGUUGGGAGAGGAUUUGGGUCCCUAGGAGCCACCCUACAUGGGUGCUGAGACUCACACCCUGGUCUUUGCAAGAGCACUGCUACUCCUGAGCACUGAACCAUUUUCUCUCCAGUCCCUCAAAAAAAAAAUCAAAUGACAGGUAUUAGUGUCGCUGUUGACGGGAGCCGCACUCUAGGUUUCUCUACAACGCUCACUGUGUUUUGUGUGUGAGCGUGAGCGAGGGGGGGGGCUCUUGAGGUUUUAUUGCUAGCAGCACAAAAAUAAAAGAAAGAAAAAGUGAAUUUAAGAGUUAGGUAAAACUUUACCAAAAGAUUAAUUUAAUCCAUGAUCAUCCAGCACUCAGUUGAUUUUCUGAGUAAUACUUAAAACAGUUUACUCUCUAGAACUGAGACUCUAAAGGAGACUCCUGUAACACAAGUGAGCGUCUAGGAUGUUCUGAGUGAAUACAUCCAUCAAAUAAGAAGGCAGAAACAUGCUGUUAGAACUAGAAGGUGCCCUGGCAAGGACUGAAGCCAGUGGGAAAUUCCCCAGGACUCAUCGGUGCACACAGAACCAGCGAGAGCCUGCUUUCCACAAGCUGUUCCUUCUAUUGUAUCCACUCCACUGACUGAAGAGAAAAUUGGUAACAGCACUCGGGAGGUCAGGGGAAAAAAUUCUCUUCCCUUCAAACCUAGCUUGGUGACCUAAAUCACCUCCUGAGAUUUGCUAGCCUUGAAUUAUAAGAUCUACUCCAUAUUAAAUGACAUCAUUCUUUGUAUUAAUAUAAAAGCAUUUUUUUCCAUACAUUGAUAAAAGCAAAAUGGCUGAUAUCCCAAAAUGACAUUCCUGGAUUCAUUGUUUCAAUAAGAAGUGAAAUUGUUUACACAUGGCAUGAAAAUUUCACCUGUGAUUCAUACUGAAAAAUAUUAAAUAUUAAAAAAAGACCUAUGCGGAAUAGCAUGAAACUGUGUGUCUCUGGGCCAACACACAGUCAGCUGCCUCUCGGGCUUCACAAUGGACGGUGGGUGUUGAGUUGUUUUCAGAGACCACAGUGAAAAAAUUCUCUUAAGUCUGAUUUUAGGCAAAGAAAUGAAAAUGUGGGAACGCCAAGCCUCCACCGAGGCCUUAAGUGUUUGUAGCAUUGCACUACUGUGCUGAGCUAGCACUUCAGAAUUCAACAGGGCAGGGAGGCAAUGGACUGCCGCCUUUACAGCCUCCAUAAAGGAAGAAGCAAGGCUCACAAAGGAACACAGCAUCUCCUUUGCUCAGACUGGAGCCUCUUGAUUACAGCUCCGAGGUCGCCCACCACACGGGUCUGCAGUUUUCAGCAGAGAAUACAGGAGAGAUGUCUGUAUUGUGGGGCUGGCUGACUGAUCACUUUGCAUACACACAGCCUUAGGUUUGGUCCCCAGCACCACGGGAACUGGGCAUGGAAGCAGAGCCCUGUAAUCCUGGCACUCAGGAGGUUGAUGCAGGAGGACCAGAACUUGAGGGCCAUCUUGGGCUAUAUACAGAGUUUAAGGUCAGCCUGGGAUACAUGAGACCUGGUCUCAAGGAAAAAAAAAAAAGGAGCUCCUAUCAUAUAUGUUUCUAUAUAAACUCUGCUUAUUACUAAGUACUACCAAAGAAGUAGUCUAACGUGCCAUUGGUUGCUAGUGAAAGAACCCCAAUGCCUGGUCUCCAGAUCAACUGCUUCUGCCUUUUCUCCCCCACUGCCAUCUUCCUAAAUGCUGCUGCUAACAUUUCCCACUGCCACUCCCCUCAACCCCUUCAGCAGCACUCAUGGUCCUGGGACAGGAGAAUCCAAUUGUCUUGCACUCCUUUUUUUUUUUUUUUUCCAAGACAGAGUUUCUCUGUGUAUCCCUGGCUAGUCACUCUGUAGACCAGGCUGGCUCAAAUUCACCAGAGAUCCCCUGCCUCUGCCUCCUGAGUGCUGGGGUUAAAGGAGUGCGCCACCUGGUUCGCCAUUUCUUCCACUCAAUCUUACCCACUUUCAUUAAAUUCCAGAGUUUGCCCAUACAUACUUUCCUCUCAUUGUCUUCAAUACAUUAAUACUUUUUUUUUUUAAACAAAGUCUCAUGUAGCCCAGGCUGCCCUGAAACUUGCUAUGUAGCCCAGACUGGCCUUGUAUCCCCAAUUUCCUGUUUUUGUCUCCCAUAUGUUUGAUUAUAGGCAUGUGCCACCAUA